CCCUUAGAUGUCCUGGGCCGCACGCGCGCUACACUGACAUGUUCAACAAGCCUCCUAGUUCGACAGGAUUUGGGAAAUCUUUGAACGCAUGUCGUGAUAGGGAUAGAUCAUUGCAAUUAUUGAUCUUGAACGUGGAAUUCCUAGUAAACGCGAGUCAUCAGCUCGCAUUGAUUACGUCCCUGCCCUUUGUACACACCGCCCGUCGCACCUACCGAUUGAAUGUUUCGGUGAAGAUUCCGGAUAGGACUUUUUUGAUUUAUUUCAAUUUUGUCUUAAAAGCUAUCUAAACCUCAACAUUUAGAGGAAGGUGAAGUCGUAACA
Molecule: ribosomal RNA, 321 nt
Filed under: uncultured eukaryote
Lineage: Eukaryota
Description: partial 18S ribosomal RNA
Rfam family: Eukaryotic small subunit ribosomal RNA
Source: RNAcentral